Molecule: transfer RNA, 87 nt
Filed under: Candidatus Babelota bacterium
Lineage: Bacteria
Description: tRNA-Leu
Rfam family: tRNA
About the family: Transfer RNA (tRNA) molecules are approximately 80 nucleotides in length. Their secondary structure includes four short double-helical elements and three loops (D, anti-codon, and T loops).
Source: RNAcentral
GCCGGGGUGGCGAAAUUGGUAGACGCACGGGACUCAAAAUCCCGCGGUAGCAAUACCGUGUCGGUUCGAGUCCGACCCCCGGCACCA